RNAcentral lists this transfer RNA (52 nucleotides) under Centrorhynchus clitorideus. Its description in RNAcentral is "tRNA-His". The record is from RNAcentral. Lineage: Eukaryota; Metazoa; Acanthocephala; Palaeacanthocephala; Polymorphida; Centrorhynchidae.
UGUAGGUUGGGUAGUAGUACGAUUUAUUGUGGUUAAAUUAGGGUAGCCUGUG